CCUACGGGAGGCAGCAGUCGGGAAUAUUGCUCAAUGGGGGAAACCCUGAAGCAGCAACGCCGCGUGGAGGAUGAAGGUUUUCGGAUUGUAAACUCCUUUUGUUAGAGAAGAUAAUGACGGUAUCUAACGAAUAAGCACCGGCUAACUCCGUGCCAGCAGCCGCGGUAAUCCGGAGGGUGCAAGCGUUACUCGGAAUCACUGGGCGUAACGAGCGCGUAGGCGGGAUAGCAAGUCAGAUGUGAAAUCCUAUGGCUUAACCAUAGAACUGCAUUUGAAACUGUUAUUCUAGAGUAUGGGAGAGGUAGGUGGAAUUCUUGGUGUAGGGGUAAAAUCCGUAGAGAUCAAGAGGAAUACUCAUUGCGAAGGCGACCUGCUAGAACAUAACUGACGCUGAUGCACGAAAGCGUGGGGAGCAAACAGGAUUAGAUACCCUUGUAGUC
Molecule: ribosomal RNA, 440 nt
Filed under: uncultured bacterium
Lineage: Bacteria
Description: partial 16S ribosomal RNA
Rfam family: Bacterial small subunit ribosomal RNA
Source: RNAcentral